Molecule: long non-coding RNA, 581 nt
Organism: Panicum virgatum (switchgrass)
Lineage: Eukaryota; Viridiplantae; Streptophyta; Magnoliopsida; Poales; Poaceae
Exons: 3
Source: RefSeq, a predicted model, not a curated record
GCCCUCCUCGUCAACCCAGCGAGCUUCCUCUCCGCCGAGCGAAGCGGCCUCCUGGACCCGGCCCGCGAUCUCACCAUUCCCGCCUCCGCCGGCAACGAGGAGGAGUACAUCAAGGUCUCCGAGCCCAUUCUGGGUGGCGAAGGUGAAGACGCCUCUCUUGCUCGGGCUGCCUGUGACAAAUUGAUUCCAGAGAUGACCCUAGAAGUUGAUACAGAUUAUGUGAUGCUUGAACCCCAAACGUGGGCGGAAAGCGGGGAAUGGAAAGCCAGAGCGACUGACGAGGAAAGACGCAAGUACGCGUCGUGGAGGAAUGGUCGGCGCCAAGGACGGUCGCCUACAUCCUACCAUGUAGGUGCCAGGCAUUCCUAUAUGCCGCUGCCGCCAUAUAAACUCUCUUCAGUCCGAGAAGGAACUUUCCGGGUGUUUUUUUUUUUUUUUUUGUCAUGUCUGGGAAGGGAUAUGAGCUUAUCUGAGAUGGGAAUAUGGGAUAUGAGCUUAUCUGGGAUUCGAGUGAAUCUUGCGACAAAGUGAAAGAAGUGGAUUUUCGUUUGCAAUACACUAAUAUCUUUUUUUCAUUGUUA